UCUGACCACUGUCAUGUCCUUAAAAUCUAGU
This 31-nucleotide non-coding RNA is filed under the name Rattus norvegicus (Norway rat). Lineage: Eukaryota; Metazoa; Chordata; Mammalia; Rodentia; Muridae. The record is from RNAcentral.